Molecule: long non-coding RNA, 555 nt
Filed under: Mustela putorius furo (domestic ferret)
Lineage: Eukaryota; Metazoa; Chordata; Mammalia; Carnivora; Mustelidae
Description: lncRNA (ENSMPUG00000030980.1)
Source: RNAcentral
AGAGAAAGGAGAAGUAGGGAAAGCAAAAAGGCAGAGACCACAAAGCAUCUCCCCCAUGAAAGGAGCAAGUGAGACAAGAGGAAGUUAAAGAGCCUGGGAGUGAGCGGAGGCAGGGGUAGAUGUCAAGGGGAGGAGAACCAGAAGGCAAAACGGCUCUACUGUUUGUGAGGAAGGAGAGGGUUUCAGGAAGGAACGACCGGUCAACACUGUACAUUUUCAAAGGUCAGAGAAUUUAAGAGCUGAAAGUUGUGCAGUACGUUCUGAGAACUAAGAGGAAUUUGGAGACCUUCUACCGUGGAGAGGUGCAGGCGGAAGCAAGGAUUUGGUUUUCUCCUGUAUUUCUUCAACCAGAAUCCCCCCCAGAAGCUGGAGUGGAAGGUGCCCAGCAUGGUAACAACCAGGUACAGGCAUUCCCUCCCCUUCCUUUUGUCCUAAGCAAAAAUCAAAAAGGAUUUAAUAAGAGCAUAUAAUGUAUUUACUAAUCUUGAAAUAAAUAUGGACAUGGCAACUGAAAUUUACAUAGGUACCUACCCAGAACCAGUAACUGUAUUCAAC